GAUUCCUGACUCCUCCCACACAGGUGACUAAUCACAUGGCUAUGACAUCAUCACAGGCCCUAUAACAACAGAACAACCAAGCUGCAGCUUUACAGCAGGAGGUUCCUAAAAUAUAGAAUUGUCUGUUAAUAACUUCUACGUAACAGAAUUUUCCUGAUAGACUCAUUAAGGAUGUAUAGGGACAGAGACAAGAUGGCAGAGAGGAUAAUAAAUCUCACCCUAGAGAUACUCUUCCAACUUACUGGAGAGGGUUACACAGUAGUGAAGAAGACCUCUAGUGAGGUUCCUUUGUCUGAAGGAUGGGGAAGAACCUUGAGCCCAAUCACGGGGCCUCCACCUCACCUCCUGAUACAUGAGGAAAUCAAUGAACAGAAAAUCCUAGAACUCACCCACAAGAUGGUGGAGCUGCUGACUGGAGAGGUUCCUAUAAGGUGUCAGGAUGUCACUGUCUAUUUCUCCAUGGAGGAGUGGGA
Molecule: long non-coding RNA, 473 nt
Organism: Bufo bufo (common toad)
Lineage: Eukaryota; Metazoa; Chordata; Amphibia; Anura; Bufonidae
Exons: 4
Source: RefSeq, a predicted model, not a curated record